This 77-nucleotide transfer RNA is filed under the name Acidobacteriota bacterium. RNAcentral describes it as "Acidobacteria bacterium tRNA-Met". It matches the Rfam family "tRNA". Rfam says of the family: Transfer RNA (tRNA) molecules are approximately 80 nucleotides in length. Their secondary structure includes four short double-helical elements and three loops (D, anti-codon, and T loops). Further hydrogen bonds mediate the characteristic L-shaped molecular structure. tRNAs have two regions of fundamental functional importance: the anti-codon, which is responsible for specific mRNA codon recognition, and the 3' end, to which the tRNAs corresponding amino acid is attached (by aminoacyl-tRNA synthetases). tRNAs cope with the degeneracy of the genetic code in two manners: having more than one tRNA (with a specific anti-codon) for a particular amino acid; and 'wobble' base-pairing, i.e. permitting non-standard base-pairing at the 3rd anti-codon position. The record is from RNAcentral. Lineage: Bacteria; Pseudomonadati; Acidobacteriota.
GCGCCAAUAGCUUAAUCGGUAAAGCGCCCGUCUCAUAAACGGUAGAAGGAGCGGAUCGUAACCGCCUUGGCGCACCA